This 894-nucleotide non-coding RNA is filed under the name Astrospartus mediterraneus. The record is from RNAcentral. Lineage: Eukaryota; Metazoa; Echinodermata; Ophiuroidea; Euryalida; Gorgonocephalidae.
UUUAUAUUUAAAGAACUUGGUUCUAAUUUUUGGUUUUAAGUAUGGAAAGGAUUAUAUAUGUAAGCUAUUUUAGCGUGACGGUGAGGAAACAUUUUAAUUAAAAAGAUACUUAAAAAGAAUUUUUUAAAAAAAUUUGUUUACAUUAAUUGAUUUUUGUAAAAAAAUAAUGGUUAUUUUGUUAGUUCACAUCUGCAGUAAUAAAUACUUAAACCAUAAUUGGAAGAUUGAUUAGGUUAAAUCUAUUUUGAGAUGGCGAAGAUAUCGUGCCAGCAGCCGCGGUUAAACGAACAUUCUCUUCUUAAUUCAUUAGUAGCUUAAAAAAUAGUAGUUGCUUUAAGAGAUUAAUCAAAAAGAAAAGUUUAGGAGUGAAAACCUAUUUUUCUUAGAAAAAAUCUUUCUAAUGUUUAUUUAUUAAAUUAAAGAUAUAGACCUGGAUUAGAUACCCAGUUAUUCUUUAAUAAAAUCAAAAAUGCUGGUGGAAUACGGAUAAAGAAAUUUAAAAUACAAAGGACUUGGCGGUUAUCUAUUUCUGAUCAGGGGAGCUUGCUUGAAGAAAAUGAUAAUCCACAUUAAACCUUACCUACUAUUGUAAUUUCAGUUUUUAUAUCAUCGUCAUUAAGUUUUCACCGUAAGUUAGAAGACUUUCAACUAAUAAAAAGUUAGAUGUCAGAUCGAGAUGGAGCUAAUGAGUAGGAGAGAGUGAGCUACAGUAAUUAUUAAUUAAUUAUGGAAAGGGAAAUAAAAGUUUCCAAAGAAAAAGGACUUGAUAGUAAUAAAAUAGAAGAAAAAUUUUAUGAAAAUAGCUCUAGGUUUCGUACACAUCGCCCGUCACCUGCGGGGAUUAAACCUGGAGUAAGUCGUAACAUAGUAGGCGUACCGGAAGGUGCGGCCUAG